This 821-nucleotide unclassified non-coding RNA is filed under the name Bombus terrestris (buff-tailed bumblebee). Its description in RNAcentral is "misc RNA ENSBTSG00005027240.1". Lineage: Eukaryota; Metazoa; Arthropoda; Insecta; Hymenoptera; Apidae. The record is from RNAcentral.
CUGCCGCUUGCGGGCACGAACCGCGCUACCGCCGUCAGCAGGCAGUCUUAUUACGCCCGCACUCAACUACGCGAACUAAGUACUCUUCUUAGGCCGGCCACACAUCGAAUAACAAUCGCGUGGUCUAGCUUACGCGUGAAUUCGGUCCAUACAUCAAACGGUGUUCGUUCUCCAUUGAAAAUUUCGGAUCUUUUCUAUAUCUCUUGGCGUACAACAUUUUUUGUAUGUUCGAUCCAGCGGUUCGGUUCCAGCGACGACUCUCAUUUUCGAAUCGACGAAAACAAUUUUAAAAUCAGUUAGCGAAUCGAGUCGGGAGGCGGCGAGAAACCCUCGAGUUCGAUUAAUCGGCGAGGACCUGCUGCCCGGUCAGAGAGUGACAUUGUCUCCCCCCCGCGCCAAAUUGACGAAUCAAAAUUCGACAGGCACGCUUGACCUGGAAUGCCAGUUUUACGCGCAACGUACGAAGGAACGCGUGUGUCGUGAGUUUCGUGUGUAAAUAGAAGAGGACAGACGCGUCCUAUCCGCUGUCGUGGCUGUGGCGUCGAUUAGUUUCAUUUUCUUGGUAGUAGAAGCACGUCGCUGUUAACAUUGACGGUCAUUACGUUGUUUGUCGCGCGCCAAGAAUUCGCGUCCGCGCAUACCGAACUGUCACGAUUACCGCGUGUCACGAAUUCAUCUUAUAUUUUGAUCGUCCAGAAUGUCGUCUUAUUUAAGUCCGCAAAACCUACGUAGAUAAUCAACUGUGCUAUGUCGUGAAAGGUGGCUCGGUAAUUCGAGGAAGAUGAAAACAUUGAAUCGUGAUAGAUUCGACAAAAACAAUG